Molecule: ribosomal RNA, 387 nt
Filed under: uncultured eukaryote
Lineage: Eukaryota
Description: SSU rRNA
Rfam family: Eukaryotic small subunit ribosomal RNA
Source: RNAcentral
AGCUCCAAUAGCGUAUAUUAAAGUUGUUGCGGUAGUUGGAUUUCUGCCGAGGACGACCGGUCCGCCCUCUGGGUGAGUAUCUGGCUUGGCCUGGGCAUCUUCUUGGAGAACGUAGCUGCACUUGACUGUGUGGUGCGGUAUCCAGGACUUUUACUUUGAGGAAAUUAGAGUGUUUCAAGCAGGCAUACGCCUUGAAUACAUUAGCAUGGAAUAAUAAGAUAGGACCUCGGUUCUAUUUUGUUGGUUUCUAGAGCCGAGGUAAUGAUUAAUAGGGAUAGUUUGGGGCAUUCGUAUUUAACUGUCAGAGGUGAAAUUCUUGGAUUUGCUAAAGACGGACUACUGUGAAAGCAUUUGCCAAGGAUGUUUUCAUUGAUCAAGAACGAAGUU